GUGAAGAACGCAGCGAAAUGCGAUAAGUAAUGUGAAUUGCAGAAUUCAGUGAAUCAUCGAAUCUUUGAACGCACAUUGCGCCCGCCAGCACUCUGGCGGGCAUGCCUGUCCGAGCGUCAUUUCAACCCUCAGGCCCCCCGGGGACUGGUGUUGGGGAUCGGCCCGCCCUGGCGCGGCGCCGUCCCCGAAAUACAGUGGCGGUCUCGCUGCAGCCUCCCCUGCGUAGUAGCACACCUCGCAUUGGAGAGCGGCGCGGCCACGCCGUGAAACCCCAACUUCUGAUAGUUGACCUCGGAUCAGGUAGGAAUACCCGCUGAACUUAAGCAUAUCAAUAAGCGGAGGA
RNAcentral lists this unclassified non-coding RNA (343 nucleotides) under soil metagenome. RNAcentral describes it as "partial contains 5.8S ribosomal RNA, internal transcribed spacer 2, and large subunit ribosomal RNA". The stretch from base 2 to 119 matches the Rfam family "5.8S ribosomal RNA", at positions 37 to 154 of the family's 154-position model. The record is from RNAcentral.